RNAcentral lists this long non-coding RNA (781 nucleotides) under Numida meleagris (helmeted guineafowl). RNAcentral describes it as "lncRNA (ENSNMEG00000021008.1)". Lineage: Eukaryota; Metazoa; Chordata; Aves; Galliformes; Numididae. The record is from RNAcentral.
UUUAAAUCUCAAACACGCCCACCUGGAAGCAAAUAGACCAAGUGCUUAACAGGAGAGUGUAAAACCUACAGCUGGUAAAUGUUUAUCUAAGUCAUCAAACCCAUUUGUAAGAAAGGAGGCAUAGUAGUCAAGUAGGAUUGGUAGUAUUAGCUGAAGUUGGGGCAGACUUUACAAGUAAACCAAGUGUAUUUGUACAGAGAUAUUUUUCAGAAGUGUUUGCAUUGCAAGUGACAUGUGGCUGACAGGAACUUGGAGAAAUGGGAUACGAAGUGAAUGCUGUAGUUACCACAGCAUCAUAUUUAUCAAAAGGCUUAAGUGACCGCUACAUCAGUAGAGUCUGUGUCGAUAUGGUACUGCCCAGAGUGCACCGGACUUCCAGAAAGCAUGAGCGACAAGGCAGUGGAACGCCAAUUCCUUCUCACUGCUACUGCCCUCAUUUUUAUUGUGGUUUAACCCAGGAAGAAGCCCAGCACCACAAAGAUGUUCGCUAACUCCCCACUCCACCCUCCCCAUCAAGUGGGAUGAGGGAGAGAAUUGAAAACAAUACAGAACUCACAGGCUCAGUUCUCAGCAACAACCAAAGCAUUGGUGUGCUAUUAACACUGUCUUGGCUGAAACCAGGACAAUUCUAAAGAUCUCUUCUGUCCUUCAUCACAGAUCCUAACCAUACAACUCUUCUUGUGAUCUGCCAUCAAAGUAGGCCAACCUUCUUGUGUAUUUGCUUCACAAGUCUCCAUCUCCUCUCAAAUCUAUCUUGAAAUGCAUUUUUCAGGCUCUUAUG